Molecule: ribosomal RNA, 468 nt
Filed under: uncultured bacterium
Lineage: Bacteria
Description: partial 16S ribosomal RNA
Rfam family: Bacterial small subunit ribosomal RNA
Source: RNAcentral
GACGAACGCUGGCGGCGUGCUUAACACAUGCCAGUCGAACGGAAAGGCCCUGCUUUUGUGGGGUGCUCGAGUGGCGAACGGGUGAGUAACACGUGAGUAACCUGCCCUUGACUUUGGGAUAACUUCAGGAAACUGGGGCUAAUACCGGAUAGGAGCUCCUGCUGCAUGGUGGGGGUUGGAAAGUUUCGGCGGUUGGGGAUGGACUCGCGGCUUAUCAGCUUGUUGGUGGGGUAGUGGCUUACCAAGGCUUUGACGGGUAGCCGGCCUGAGAGGGUGACCGGCCACAUUGGGACUGAGAUACGGCCCAGACUCCUACGGGAGGCAGCAGUGGGGAAUAUUGCACAAUGGGCGGAAGCCUGAUGCAGCAACGCCGCGUGCGGGAUUACGGCCUUCGGGGUGUAAACCGCUUUCGCCUGGGACGAAGCGUGAGUGACGGUAAUGGGUAAAGAAGCACCGGCUAACUACGUG